This 670-nucleotide ribosomal RNA is filed under the name uncultured bacterium. Its description in RNAcentral is "bacterial SSU rRNA". It matches the Rfam family "Bacterial small subunit ribosomal RNA", at positions 44 to 715 of the family's 1533-position model. The record is from RNAcentral.
AUGCUUAACACAUGCAAGUCGAACGAACGAUAUAGAAAAGAAGCUUCGGUGGACUUUUUAUAAAGUUAGUGGCAAACGGGUGAGUAAUGCAUAAGUAAUCUGCCCUUAAGUCUGGGAUAACUUUUCGAAAGGAAAGCUAAUACCGGAUACACUCAUUUUUACAUAAGUAUUUAUGAGGAAAGGUUUACUGCUUAAGGAUGAGCUUAUGUCUGAUUAGCUUGUUGGUGAGGUAAUGGCUCACCAAGGCUCCGAUCAGUAGCUGGUUCGAGAGGACGAACAGCCACACUGGGACUGAGAUACGGCCCAGACUCCUACGGGAGGCAGCAGUGGGGAAUAUUGCGCAAUGGGCGAAAGCCUGACGCAGCGACGCCGCGUGAGCGAUGAAGCCUUUCGGGGUGUAAAGCUCUGUCAAGAGGGAAGAUUAUGACGGUACCUCUGAAGGAAGUCACGGCUAGUUACGUGCCAGCAGCCGCGGUAAUACGUAAGUGGCAAGCGUUAUCCGGAUUUAUUGGGCAUAAAGAGCACGUAGGCGGUUUUUUAAGUCAGAUGUUAAAUCCUACAGCUUAACUGUAGUCAAGCAUUUGAAACUGAAAAACUAGAGAUCAGUAGAGGGAAGUGGAACUCACGGUGUAGCGGUGAAAUGCGUAGAUAUCGGAAGGAACACCAGUGG